This 325-nucleotide long non-coding RNA is filed under the name Homo sapiens (human). RNAcentral's name for it is "non-protein coding lnc-BHLHE22-7:1". The record is from RNAcentral. Lineage: Eukaryota; Metazoa; Chordata; Mammalia; Primates; Hominidae.
UUUGAAUAAGGUUAGUCAUUGUUGCUUUUUUCCUAACACCUAAAUCACUUUAGUUCACUGAAGCUCUAGUAGUGUGGGCGUGGGAGUGGGACCAUGGAGGCAUUUUGCAGCGUGGCAUAUUCCAAAGCAGGGAGGAGAAAUCUGAACCGAGACUGUAGUGAAAGGCUCUGGGAGGCUGGGGGUAAGGCAUGUGCUCUAGGUACCUAGAAAUAAAGGGGAAGGCCUGGGAAAUCCUAGGAGACUUAUAGAAUGAAGAAGCCACCUAUCAGAGGCAAACAUCACUUGCUUAGAGUCAAUCUGCCGGACGAUACAGCCUUGAGGACAG